GAUGAACGCUGGCGGCGUGCCUAAUACAUGCAAGUCGAGCGAACAGACGAGGAGCUUGCUCCUCUGACGUUAGCGGCGGACGGGUGAGUAACACGUGGAUAACCUACCUAUAAGACUGGGAUAACUUCGGGAAACCGGAGCUAAUACCGGAUAAUAUAUUGAACCGCAUGGUUCAAUAGUGAAAGACGGUUUUGCUGUCACUUAUAGAUGGAUCUGGGCCGCAUUAGCUAGUUGGUAAGGUAACGGCUUACCAAGGCAACGAUGCGUAGCCGACCUGAGAGGGUGAUCGGCCACACUGGAACUGAGACACGGUCCAGACUCCUACGGGAGGCAGCAGUAGGGAAUCUUCCGCAAUGGGCGAAAGCUUGACGGAGCAACGCCGCGUGAGUGAUGAAGGUCUUCGGAUCGUAAAACUCUGUUAUUAGGGAAGAACAAAUGUGUAAGUAACUAUGCACGUCUUGACGGUACCUAAUCAGAAAGCCACGGCUAACUACGUG
Molecule: ribosomal RNA, 497 nt
Filed under: uncultured bacterium
Lineage: Bacteria
Description: partial 16S ribosomal RNA
Rfam family: Bacterial small subunit ribosomal RNA
Source: RNAcentral